CCUACGGGGGGCUGCAGUGAGGAAUAUUGGUCAAUGGGCGUAAGCCUGAACCAGCCAAGUCGCGUGAGGGAUGAAGGUUCUAUGGAUCGUAAACCUCUUUUAUAAGGGAAUAAAGUGUGGGACGUGUCCUGUUUUGUAUGUACCUUAUGAAUAAGGAUCGGCUAACUCCGUGCCAGCAGCCGCGGUAAUACGGAGGAUCCGAGCGUUAUCCGGAUUUAUUGGGUUUAAAGGGUGCGUAGGCGGCGUUUUAAGUCAGCGGUGAAAGUUUGUGGCUCAACCAUAGAAUUGCCGUUGAAACUGGGAGGCUUGAGUAUGUUUGAGGCAGGCGGAAGGCGUGGUGUAGCGGUGAAAUGCUUAGAUAUCACGAAGAACCCCGAUUGCGAAGGCAGCCUGCCAAGCCAUGACUGACGCUGAUGCACGAAAGCGUGGGGAUCAAACAGGAUUAGAUACCCCAGUAGUC
Molecule: ribosomal RNA, 460 nt
Filed under: uncultured bacterium
Lineage: Bacteria
Description: partial 16S ribosomal RNA
Rfam family: Bacterial small subunit ribosomal RNA
Source: RNAcentral